This 253-nucleotide ribosomal RNA is filed under the name uncultured bacterium. RNAcentral's name for it is "partial 16S ribosomal RNA". It matches the Rfam family "Bacterial small subunit ribosomal RNA", at positions 524 to 776 of the family's 1533-position model. The record is from RNAcentral.
UACGUAGGGUGCGAGCGUUGUCCGGAAUUACUGGGCGUAAAGAGCUCGUAGGUGGUUUGUCGCGUUGUUCGUGAAAUCUCACGGCUUAACUGUGAGCGUGCGGGCGAUACGGGCAGACUAGAGUACUGCAGGGGAGACUGGAGUUCCUGGUGUAGCGGUGGAAUGCGCAGAUAUCAGGAGGAACACCGGUGGCGAAGGCGGGUCUCUGGGCAGUAACUGACGCUGAGGAGCGAAAGCGUGGGGAGCGAACAGG